GCUAAAAACCUAGCCCUACUAAUUUUUAAGACGUUCAUCUCCCUUAUAUAAACAAACAAAACAUUUUCUAAACCUAGUAAAGGCGAUUAAAAAGUUUUUAGGCGCGUUAGCACCAGUACCGUGAGGGAAAGGUGAAAUAAAAGUGAAAUAAAUUUGAAGCAUAACAAAGUAGAGACUAACCCUCGUACCUUUUGCAUCAUGGUCUCACUAGUACCCUCAAGCAAAAUGAGCUUUAAGUUUGACACCCCGAAACUAGACGAGCUACUUCAAAACCGCCUUCACGGGCCAACCCAUCCCUGUCGCAAAAUGGUGGGAAGAUUUUCAAGUAGAGGUGAUAGACCUACCGAGCCUAGAGAUAGCUGGUUAUUCAGGAAAGGGAUAUUAGUCCAACUUUAAGCCUUCAAUAUACACUCAAAUACAGAAAUAGGUUUAAAAUUUAUUCAAAUAAGGUUCAGCCUAUUUGAAACAGGAUACAACCUACCACAUCGGGUAAUGCCACAACCACAUGACCAAGUAGGCCUAAGAGCAGCCACCUUUUAAAAAGCGUUACAGCCUCAUCAUGCCCAAUAAUUAAUCCCAACCUAAGCCCAAAACCCAUCAUCCGUACUGAAUGACUCCAUAACUAUAUGGAAAACCUUAUGUUAGAACUAGUAAUAAGAAUAACUUCUCCACCAAAUGUAAGUGUAAGCCGGACUGAACCAAUCACCGGCAUCUAUCGCCAAUGAGCCUGCAGUAGUAACUAAACACAAGAAAAUCCUACUUUUUAAAGCGUUAACCUUACACUAGAGCUUUUCUGGAAAGAUUAAAAAGAGAGGAAGGAACUCGGCAAAUAUAAACCCCGCCUGUUUACCAAAAACACCGCCUUCUGAUAACAAUAGAAGGUCCCGCCUGCCCAGUGACAAACUUAAACGGCCGCGGUAUUUUAACCGUGCAAAGGUAGCACAAUCACUUGUUCUUUAAAUAAGGACUAGUAUGAACGGCACCACGAGGGUUCUACUGUCUCCCCCUUUUAAUCAAUGAAACUAAUUUCCCCGUGAAGAAGCGGGGAUGCCAAUAUAAGACGAGAAGACCCCAUGGAGCUUUAAACUCAGUAUCACUUGCAUUAUUUAACACCAUUUAAACCUAGCAAACCUGCCUACUAGUUUUUGGUUGGGGUGACCGCGGAGUAAAACAAAACCUCCAUGAUGAAAGGACUUUCCUCCUAAUCAAAGAGCCACAACUCAUAGAAUCAAAAUAUUGACCCAAUUGACCCAAUUCAUUUGAGCAACGAACCAAGUUACCCUGGGGAUAACAGCGCAAUCCAUUUCAAGAGCCCCUAUCGCCAAAUGGGUUUACGACCUCGAUGUUGGAUCAGGGUAUCCCAGUGGUGCAGCCGCUACUAAAGGUUCGUUUGUUCAACGAUUAAAACCCU
Molecule: ribosomal RNA, 1411 nt
Filed under: Copiula oxyrhina
Lineage: Eukaryota; Metazoa; Chordata; Amphibia; Anura; Microhylidae
Description: partial 16S ribosomal RNA
Rfam family: Bacterial large subunit ribosomal RNA
Source: RNAcentral